RNAcentral lists this ribosomal RNA (407 nucleotides) under Amblyomma maculatum (Gulf Coast tick). RNAcentral describes it as "partial small subunit ribosomal RNA". The record is from RNAcentral. Lineage: Eukaryota; Metazoa; Arthropoda; Arachnida; Ixodida; Ixodidae.
AGUAUUUUGACUAUACAAAGGUAUUGAAAUAAGACUUUAAUUGAGUGCUAAGAGAAUGGAAUUUCAUAAAAUUUCUUUUUUAAUUUUAAAAAUUGAAAUUAAUUUUAUAUGUGAAGAAACAAUAAUAAAAAUUAAGGACAAGAAGACCCUAAGAAUUUUAAAAAUUUCAAUAAAAUGUUGCAUUUUAUUGAAAUUUUUUAAUUGGGGCGAUUAUUAAAUAUUAAAAACUUUAAUUUUUUAAAAAAGAACCAAUAAUAUUGGUUAUUUGAAAAAAUACUCUAGGGAUAACAGCGUAAUAAUUUUUGAUAGUUCUUAUAGACAAAAUAGUUUGCGACCUCGAUGUUGGAUUAGGAUUCUUUUUUAAUGAAGAAGUUAAAAAAAGAAGUUUGUUCAACUUUUAAAAUCCU